AGUGAACGCUGGCGGUAGGCCUAACACAUGCAAGUCGAACGGCAGCACAGUAAGAGCUUGCUCUUACGGGUGGCGAGUGGCGGACGGGUGAGGAAUACAUCGGAAUCUACUUUUUCGUGGGGGAUAACGUAGGGAAACUUACGCUAAUACCGCAUACGACCUACGGGUGAAAGCAGGGGAUCUUCGGACCUUGCGCGAUUGAAUGAGCCGAUGUCGGAUUAGCUAGUUGGCGGGGUAAAGGCCCACCAAGGCGACGAUCCGUAGCUGGUCUGAGAGGAUGAUCGGCCACACUGGAACUGAGACACGGUCCAGGCUCCUACGGGAGGCAGCAGUGGGGAAUAUUGGACAAUGGGCGCGAGCCUGGUCCAGCCAUACCGCGUGGGUGAAGGAGGCCUUCGGGUUGUAAAGCCCUUUUGUUGGGAAAGAAAAGCAGCAGGUUAAUACCCCGCUGUUCUGACGGUACCCAAAGAAUAAGCACCGGCUAACUUCGUG
RNAcentral lists this ribosomal RNA (492 nucleotides) under uncultured bacterium. RNAcentral's name for it is "partial 16S ribosomal RNA". It matches the Rfam family "Bacterial small subunit ribosomal RNA", at positions 29 to 507 of the family's 1533-position model. The record is from RNAcentral.